ACUUAACCUGGAGAGGAAGCAGUGGCUAACUCCGUGCCAGCAGCCGCGGUAAUACGGAGACUGCAAGCGUUAUUCGGAUUCACUGGGCGUAAAGGGUGCGCAGGCGGUUAUGUGUGUCAGGUGUGAAAUCUCGGAGCUCAACUCCGAAACUGCGCCUGAAACUACAUGACUAGAGUAUCGGAGAGGUGAGCGGAAUUCAUGGUGUAGCAGUGAAAUGCGUAGAUAUCAUGAGGAACACCAGAGGCGAAGGCGGCUCACUGGACGAUUACUGACGCUCAGGCACGAAAGCAUGGGUAGCGAAAGGGAUUAGAUACCCCUGUAGUCCAUGCCCUAAACGUUGUACACUAGGUCUUGGAGGAUUCUACCCCUUCAGGGCCCAAGCUAACGCGAUAAGUAUACCGCCUGAGGACUACGGCCGCAAGGCUAAAACUCAAAGGAAUUGACGGGGGCCCGCACAAGCGGUGGAGCAUGUGGCUUAAUUCGA
This 484-nucleotide ribosomal RNA is filed under the name Alexandrium margalefii. Its description in RNAcentral is "partial Bacterial small subunit ribosomal RNA". It matches the Rfam family "Bacterial small subunit ribosomal RNA", at positions 472 to 954 of the family's 1533-position model. The record is from RNAcentral. Lineage: Eukaryota; Dinophyceae; Gonyaulacales; Pyrocystaceae.